AUUGAACGCUGGCGGCAGGCCUAACACAUGCAAGUCGAACGAGUGGCGGACGGGUGAGUAGUGUCUGGGAAACUGCCUGAUGGAGGGGGAUAACUACUGGAAACGGUAGCUAAUACCGCAUACCAUGGGAUGUGGCCAGAUGGGAUUAGCUAGGAGGGGGGGUAAAGGCUCACCUAGGCGACGCUCCCUAGCUGGUCCGAGAGGAUGACCAGCCACACUGGAACUGAGAAACGGUCCCGAACCCUACGGGAGGCAGCAGUGGGGAAUAUUGCGCAAGGGGCGCAAGCCUGAUGCAGCCAUGCCGCGUGUAUGAAGAAGGCCUUCGGGUUGUAAAGUACUUUCAGCGGGGAGGCGGUACCCGAACAAGAAGCACCGGCUAACUCCGUGCCAGCCGCCGCGGUAAUAC
This 406-nucleotide ribosomal RNA is filed under the name uncultured bacterium. RNAcentral's name for it is "partial 16S ribosomal RNA". It matches the Rfam family "Bacterial small subunit ribosomal RNA", at positions 29 to 526 of the family's 1533-position model. The record is from RNAcentral.